RNAcentral lists this transfer RNA (72 nucleotides) under Notophthalmus viridescens (eastern newt). RNAcentral's name for it is "tRNA-Pro". Lineage: Eukaryota; Metazoa; Chordata; Amphibia; Caudata; Salamandridae. The record is from RNAcentral.
GAUUAAAAGUGAUAAGUUACUAAAACACAGUCAUGUGGAAAAGAGAUUAAUGUAUAAUUAUACAUAGUAUGU